Molecule: long non-coding RNA, 1269 nt
Organism: Lactuca sativa (garden lettuce)
Lineage: Eukaryota; Viridiplantae; Streptophyta; Magnoliopsida; Asterales; Asteraceae
Source: RefSeq, a predicted model, not a curated record
AUAGAGUCAAUCGGAAGGCAUAAUAAGAUAUAUAAGGUCACAAUAGAGUGAGAACGGAAGGGAAGAAAUAGAGCCGACAAUGGAAUAAAACCUUGAUUCGUUCAAAUCGUCCACCUUACGAAACCCGGAAGAUCAGAAAUUGAAAGAUAGAAAGGAGGAGGGGUUUUUUGGUCGUAUAAUUAGGCGGUGCACCAACAGAAGUCUACUAAUCUGGGAGAUACGGUGACGGGGAAUAACGGUGAGGAAGGAUACUUUUGGUUUUCAUCGAAGAGACAUUUACCCUGGAGUCGAAGUCGGACGGUGAUUCCUACUGAACCCUAAUCGAAUAAAAAACCCUUCGCUAUCCGCUACCGGAGCAACCCCUUUCUUCCAUCACAAUCGACGACAGCUCCUGCUGAAGACUUCGUCCUUCUUCUCCGAUCAAACUAAGAGUCGGUGGAGGUCAACUACCAGACGAAGACUACACCACAAAGGGGCCACCAGAGGUCAACUACUAAUACAGAGCGUCUGAUUGAUCGGUGAUUCCUUCAUAAGAAUUCAGAAUGAAAUCUAUUUGAGGUAUUAGGAGAUUGAUUUGAUACCUGAGAAGGAGAAGACGCUGGUGGUUUAUUCUAUGGUGAUGGCCUGAGGUGGAUCGAAAUUGGAGCGGAAGGGCUUCGGCUCUGGUGGCGAUUAUAGCCAUGAACGGUGGUGAUGUAGGGAACAUCUUUGAAGAAUACCGAACUGAAGCGUAACGCCUUCGGACAUUCCAUAGCGACUGUAGAGCUCAUUGGAGAGAGCUAUGUUGAGAACACCCAAAACGAUGCUCAAUCGACAAGUCGUACAUGAAAGAAAUUAGCGUACCAGGUGGAGGGGGGUUGGGGAAAGUCGUCGCUUGGAAGAGCAUCAGAGUGUGGAAGGAACUGGAAGUCAAAAGUCCAUUAAUGGAGUUAUGGAGACGGUGGAUCGUGUGAAGAGACCCAAAAACGUAUCCACAAGGAUCAAAUGGAGUCGGUGGCGUGAAUGUGGCUAAGAUAAACAUGACGAAGAGGGUUGGGGAGAAGGUCCUGGAAGGUAGAGAAAGGAAAACCAUAGGCGGUGGCAGCGGUGGUAAAAGAGAAGAUGACACGUUUGCUGAACGAACAGUGGUGGUGAAAGAGAAGAGUGACGUAGACGACCCAUGGACUGAACAUUAAGCACUGUUAUUCUUGCAAGGACCAAAUUGCCAUAUCAAUAAAUAGAUGUACCAAUUCCGAUUUACAGCAAAUGAAAGGGACCAAUUAUGCCAAA